UUUCGGCAUCGGCUGGGGGCUUUCCGGCUAUUGCCCGGGGCCGGCGGUCGCCUCGCUGCCGGGAC
RNAcentral lists this transfer RNA (65 nucleotides) under Aidingimonas halophila. RNAcentral describes it as "tRNA-Asn". The record is from RNAcentral. Lineage: Bacteria; Pseudomonadati; Pseudomonadota; Gammaproteobacteria; Oceanospirillales; Halomonadaceae.